AGAAAAACACUAUAUAGAAAUAAAACCACCAAAACUCUGCAAAAUGCAACUACAAUGUUAAGAUUAAAGAUAAAAUAAACAUGCAAAUUCAACAUAAAAGAACAUUCACAAGUGAAGUUUUCUCCCCAAGACUCAAAUAAGGCAACAUAAGUUUAAAUAAACAUAUGAAAUGAAGAAAACCAGGAUAUUAAUCUCUUAAGAAGACUCAGCUUCCUAAAUGACUUAACUAGUCCUAAUUAAUCAUACACAUUACAGCCGGCAAAAUGUCCUGUAUCAUUCCAGUAUAUUAGACAAUAGAAGCAAUUGGAAGCUGAAAUAUGCCGUACCAAAUCAAAAGCACUCUACUGCUGCUGGUUUGGAGGGUUUGGAGGAGGUGGCAUCCCAGGACGUGGUGGUCCGAAAACAGGAACAGCACCAGGGGGAGGCGGCAUUCCAGGGCGUGGGGGUGGUGGAGCAGGCAUUCCAGGGCGUGGUGGUGGUGGACCAGGAGGUCCUCUCAUCAUUGAUCCCGGAGGUGGAACCAUUGGCCUCUGACCAUAUUGUGGUGGUGGGACAGGGAAUUGUUGAGGUGGCCUUACUCCAAAAGCAGGUGGUGGUACCUGUGGAGGAGGACCACGUUGCAUCUGAGGAGCCUGUGGUUGACCAGGGUAACCACCAGGUGGCAUUUGUCCAGGUGGACGGAUAACAGGAGGUGCUCCACUAGCAGCAGGGUAAGUCAUAGGCGGAGCUGACAGUUGCGGAACCGGCGGCCGUGAAAUCUGGGGCUGCAUCAUCCCAGGAGCCGGUCCACCAACACCACGAACAGGCCCAGCAAGACCAGGCUGAGCUUGAACAAGAGGACCAGUCGGAAUCCCACGACCAGCAGCACGACCAAUACCCGGUCCAGGAACAGCAUUAGCAGCGGCAGACUUUGAACGCGACUCUUCAGGAGGAGGAGGACCCUCAACAGUCAUAGAAAUAACCUCUUCACCACGAAGAAGAACAAGACCAAGCGUUCUACGAUCUUCACGCUCCUGAUUGGUACUGGGGUUUUUCUUCCCUUUAGCCGGCGGCAACUUACGGAACUCCUCGCAGUCACCGAGGA
This 1084-nucleotide long non-coding RNA is filed under the name Gossypium barbadense (sea-island cotton). RNAcentral describes it as "long non-coding RNA (GBAR_LNC008670)". The record is from RNAcentral. Lineage: Eukaryota; Viridiplantae; Streptophyta; Magnoliopsida; Malvales; Malvaceae.